This 327-nucleotide ribosomal RNA is filed under the name uncultured eukaryote. RNAcentral's name for it is "partial 18S ribosomal RNA". It matches the Rfam family "Eukaryotic small subunit ribosomal RNA", at positions 1470 to 1796 of the family's 1831-position model. The record is from RNAcentral.
CCCUUAGAUGUUCUGGGCCGCACACGCGCUACACUGAAGGAGGCAGCGUGUACUCCUGGAUCGAAAGAUUUGGGUAACCCGCGAAUCUCCUUCGUGCUAGGGAUUGUGGUUUGCAAUUAUCCUUCAUGAACGAGGAAUUCCCAGUAAGUGCAAGUCAUAAGCUUGCGCUGACUACGUCCCUGCCCUUUGUACACACCGCCCGUCGCUACUACCGAUUGAAUGAUUUAGUGAGGACUUCGGACUGGGACCGAUGCGGCUUUCGGGCUGCGUCGGUAUUCUGGAAAGAUGUCCAAACUGUAUCAUUUAGAGGAAGUAAAANUCGUANCA